UGAACGCUAGCUACAGGCUUAACACAUGCAAGUCGAGGGGCAGCAUUGGAGUAGCAAUACUCAGAUGGCGACCGGCGCACGGGUGAGUAACACGUAUCCAACCUGCCGCUUACUCGGGGAUAGCCUUUCGAAAGAAAGAUUAAUACCCGGAUGGUAUAAAGAGUUCGCAUGUUCUCUUUAUUAAAGAAUUUCGGUAAGCGAUGGGGAUGCGUUCCAUUAGAUAGUUGGCGGGGUAACGGCCCACCAAGUCUACGAUGGAUAGGGGUUCUGAGAGGAAGGUCCCCCACAUUGGUACUGAGACACGGACCAGACUCCUACGGGAGGCAGCAGUGAGGAAUAUUGGUCAAUGGGCGAGAGCCUGAACCAGCCAAGUCGCGUGAAAAGGGAAGAAGGAUCUAUGGUUCGUAAACUUCUUUUGCAGGGGAAUAAAGUGCAGGACGUGUCCUGUUUUGUAUGUACCCUGAGAAUAAGGAUCGGCUAACUCCGUGCCAGCAGCCGC
Molecule: ribosomal RNA, 499 nt
Filed under: uncultured bacterium
Lineage: Bacteria
Description: bacterial SSU rRNA
Rfam family: Bacterial small subunit ribosomal RNA
Source: RNAcentral